AAAAAAAAAAAAAAAAAAGAACGGUGGGAUAAGUUUGUUAAUUGAAUUGAAGCUAUCUACUUAGACUUUAGGACAAGAUUGUGCUUAAGCUGUCUACCUUGGUUUUAGGACAAGAUGGUGCUUAAGCUAUCUACUCUGGUUUUAGGACAAGAUGGUGCUGCCUUUUUCCAUUGGAAUAGGAGAUUUAGCUUGCUGAAAUUGUCUGGCAUGAAGCAAAUUAGAGUUGUACAGAUAUUUUGGUAGAGUAAUUGGUGGGGACAUGUACAUAGUAUUAAAUCACAGUAAAGGCUGCGUUUGGGUCCUAGUCAAGAGUAACAGAAAUAGGCCUAUAAUGACUCUAAUAUAAUGGUAAUGGCCUGAGCUACGCAAUUUUUUUUUAAAAGACUUUGCAAAGUUCAUAAAAUAAGUGGAUAUUGGUAGAACUAUAUAAUAAGUAUACAUACAUCAAAUUAGAUGUUACUAAUAAUGUAUUUUAGAAAAAUUAAUUCUGAAAAUAAUUCAAAUUAGGAAAAGUCACAUAAACCUAUAAAUUGAGUGAAUCAAUGCUUUAUACUGCAAAUUUAAGAACAAACCUAAUAUUAAACAAAACUUUCUUCAACAAAUAUGCAAAAAAUAAUAAAUAAUACUCACCUUUUGCAAGA
Molecule: unclassified non-coding RNA, 641 nt
Filed under: Hevea brasiliensis (rubber tree)
Lineage: Eukaryota; Viridiplantae; Streptophyta; Magnoliopsida; Malpighiales; Euphorbiaceae
Source: RNAcentral